This 253-nucleotide ribosomal RNA is filed under the name uncultured bacterium. Its description in RNAcentral is "partial 16S ribosomal RNA". It matches the Rfam family "Bacterial small subunit ribosomal RNA", at positions 524 to 776 of the family's 1533-position model. The record is from RNAcentral.
UACGUAGGGUGCGAGCGUUGCCCGGAUUUAUUGGGCGUAAAGGGCGCGUAGGCGGCCACGCACGUCCGUUGUGAAAUCGCUCGGCUCAACUGGGCGGGGUCAGCGGAUACGGUGUGGCUAGAGCAAGCUAGGGGGCAAUGGAAUUCCCGGUGUAGUGGUGGAAUGCGUAGAUAUCGGGAGGAACACCAGUGGCGAAGGCGGUUGCCUGGAGCUUUGCUGACGCUGAUGCGCGAAGGCGUGGGGAGCGAUCCGG